AGAGUUUGAUCCUGGCUCAGAACGAACGCUGGCGGCAGGCUUAACACAUGCAAGUCGAACGCGUGUAGCAAUACACGAGUGGCGCACGGGUGAGUAACGCGUGGAUAUCUGCCUUUUGGUUCGGAAUAACCCCGGGAAACUGGGGCUAAUACCGGAUGGUUCCUACGGGAUAAAGAUUUAUCGCCAAAAGAUGAGUCCGCGUCCGAUUAGCUAGUUGGUGAGGUAACGGCUCACCAAGGCGACGAUCGGUAGCUGGUCUGAGAGGACGAUCAGCCACACUGGGACUGAGACACGGCCCAGACUCCUACGGGAGGCAGCAGUGGGGAAUAUUGGACAAUGGGGGCAACCCUGAUCCAGCCAUGCCGCGUGAGUGAUGAAGGCCUUCGGGUUGUAAAGCUCUUUUGGCGGGGACGAUGAUGACGGUACCCGCAGAAUAAGCCCCGGCUAACUUCGUGCCAGCAGCCGCGGUAAGACGAAGGGGGCUAGCGUUGUUCGGAAUUACUGGGCGUAAAGCGCGUGUAGGCGGUUGUCCAAGUUGGAUGUGAAAGCCUUGAGCUUAACUCAAGAAAUGCAUUCAGGACUGGAUGACUAGAGGACCGGAGAGGAUAGUGGAAUUCCCAGUGUAGUGGUGAAAUACGUAGAGAUUGGGAAGAACACCAGUGGCGAAGGCGGCUAUCUGGACGGUUUCUGACGCUAAGACGCGAAAGCGUGGGGAGCAAACAGGAUUAGAUACCCUAGUAGUCC
Molecule: ribosomal RNA, 744 nt
Filed under: uncultured bacterium
Lineage: Bacteria
Description: bacterial SSU rRNA
Rfam family: Bacterial small subunit ribosomal RNA
Source: RNAcentral